UACGUAGGGGGCAAGCGUUGUCCGGAUUUAUUGGGCGUAAAGAGCGUGUAGGCGGCCUUGUAGGUCUGCUGUGAAAACUCGAGGCUUAACCUCGAGCUGUCGGCGGAAACCAUCUGGCUAGAGUCCGGAAGAGGAGAAUGGAAUUCCCGGUGUAGCGGUGAAAUGCGCAGAUAUCGGGAAGAACACCCGUGGCGAAGGCGGUUCUCUGGGACGGUACUGACGCUGAGACGCGAAAGCGUGGGGAGCGAACAGG
RNAcentral lists this ribosomal RNA (253 nucleotides) under uncultured bacterium. Its description in RNAcentral is "partial 16S ribosomal RNA". It matches the Rfam family "Bacterial small subunit ribosomal RNA", at positions 524 to 776 of the family's 1533-position model. The record is from RNAcentral.